CAAUAAGCGGAGGAAAAGAAACCAACAGGGAUUGCCCUAGUAACGGCGAGUGAAGCGGCAACAGCUCAAAUUUGAAAUCUGGCGCAAGCCCGAGUUGUAAUUUGUAGAGGAUGCUUCAGGGCAGCGGCCGGUCUAAGUUCCUUGGAACAGGACGUCAUAGAGGGUGAGAAUCCCGUAUGCGACCGGUUGGCACCCGUCACGUAGCUCCUUCGACGAGUCGAGUUGUUUGGGAAUGCAGCUCUAAAUGGGAGGUAAAUUUCUUCUAAAGCUAAAUACCGGCCAGAGACCGAUAGCGCACAAGUAGAGUGAUCGAAAGAUGAAAAGCACUUUGGAAAGAGAGUUAAAAAGCACGUGAAAUUGUUGAAAGGGAAGCGCAUGCAACCAGACUUGUCGGCGGUGUUCCACCGGUCUUCUGACCGGUUCAUUCGCCGCCGGCAGGCCAGCAUCAUCUGGGAGCGCCGGAUAAAGGCGUAGGGAAUGUGGCUCCUCGGAGUGUUAUAGCCCUUCGCACAAUACGGCGCCUCUCGGGUGAGGUCCGCGCUUCGGCUAGGAUGCUGGCGUAAUGGUUGUCUGCGGCCCGUCUUGAAACACGGACCAAGGAGUCUAACAUCUAUGCGAGUGUUCGGGUGUCAAACCCCUACGCGUAAUGAAAGUGAACGGAGGUGGGAAGCGCAAGCUGCACCAUCGACCGAUCCUGAUGUCUUCGGAUGGAUUUGAGUAAGAGCAUAGCUGUUGGGACCCGAAAGAUGGUGAACUAUGCCUGAAUAGGGUGAAGCCAGAGGAAACUCUGGUGGAGGCUCGCAGCGGUUCUGACGUGCAAAUCGAUCGUCAAAUUUGGGUAUAGGGGCGAAAGACUAAUCGAACCAUCUAGUAGCUGGUUCCUGCCGAAG
This 890-nucleotide ribosomal RNA is filed under the name Teratosphaeria agapanthi. RNAcentral describes it as "eukaryotic LSU rRNA". It matches the Rfam family "Eukaryotic large subunit ribosomal RNA", at positions 44 to 966 of the family's 3401-position model. The record is from RNAcentral. Lineage: Eukaryota; Fungi; Ascomycota; Dothideomycetes; Mycosphaerellales; Teratosphaeriaceae.